Molecule: unclassified non-coding RNA, 1012 nt
Filed under: Bombus terrestris (buff-tailed bumblebee)
Lineage: Eukaryota; Metazoa; Arthropoda; Insecta; Hymenoptera; Apidae
Description: misc RNA ENSBTSG00005034466.1
Source: RNAcentral
UUGCCUCGUUAUCUACUGGCUCGCUCGCCGGCAGUUCGUAAGAUUUACGAAUCUACUCGCGACUUAAUGCGACACAAGCUUUGAAUCACGUUGUUAAUACCGUGUCACUACUGCAUUUCGAGACGAAUUUCUCGGAAGGUCCGGAGAUUCUGAUAGCAGCGUCUGCGUUUAAUCUUCUAAUCGUGAAAAAAUAUUACACGGAAAGUUUUAUACCUUUGGAGGAGUUCGAAUGAUGACGGUAUCGGUGUUGGCUUGCCGAGGAUCAAUUUGCCCAAGAUUUUAACAUCUUGGGAUUAGAAAUGCAAUCAGGAUCAAACUCUGUGAAACGUUAUCUCAAAGAACAGUUGCGGCAUUUAAUCUCAGAAUCUUCUCAUGGGGUUCAAGCGACGACGAGUAUACUCGUCAAACGCAGUCGACUGGUUAAUCGAAUCAUAAAAAUGAACGAACAAAAUAAUCUUGAAACUAGUAUUUUGUUGAACAACUAUGAUAAGAGACCGCGAAAGACAAUUGAUCGCUAGUCAGCGUAUAGUGCGUACUCGCUAACUGUCCAAAAGUUAGUUCAAGAUUUCGCAAUGGAAUUGCCAUGUGGCUAAGUGUCGGAUCGUUAGAAUCGUAGCUUUUUCAUGCAAGAGCUCGAUGCAAUAAGAUUCAAUUUUCCAUAUAUAGUAACAAUUAUUUCAGAUUAUUAUUUUAUUUUCGAUGAUUUGGCUAGAAAAGACAGCGAGUGUUUGAAAUAAUAAUGUGCAAUUGAUCUUAUGUAAAAUAGGCGAAGUAAACUUCAAUGUCUAUACAAAUCUGUGCGUGUUUCUGUCUAUUGCGCGAACUUCCAUCAACUUGCCACGCGUCUUGAAUUCAUUACACGUCGUUUCGCUUCAUUCGUAAUGUUUUUUUAAACACGAUUCUUGUCUCUCUUUCGAUUCCCACGACCGUUCGUCUUAAUAUCAGCCGCAUGAGCGGACAACUAAAGAUACGAUCGAACAGGGUGUUGUUAUCCUCGGCGAAUGGAGAUACA